ACCGGUGCGAGACCCUCUAUAACGUCUACAUCAUCCACAAGUAUGACCACCACCGGUGCAGUGAGAACCUCUACAACGUCUACAUCAUCCACAAGUAUGACCACCACCGGUGCAGUGAGACCCUCUACAACGUCUACAUCAUCCACAAGUAUGACCACCACCGGUGCAGUGAGAACCUCUACAACGUCUACAUCAUCCACAAGUAUGACCACCACCGGUGCAGCCAUGGAAGAUGAUGAAAUGGAGGAAGCAUCUCUGGAUCUAUGACCACCUGAGAUUAUUAUGACCCUCACGGAAGUCACUGAGGACCUUGUUGAACAGGAUGUGGCCGUGGAGACAAACCUGAUACUCACAGGUGCCAACCCUGAAGAGACUGUCUCAGCAAAGAAAAGGUUCAAAUUCAUCAGCUGCUUUCGAUGCCGAGUUCAAUGAGAUGGAGUCAAUUUAGCCGAUCAGCUCAAAGGAAGGACAGGAAGAGGAGACUUGUCUGGUUGUCCUCCAAUGGGUUUUGAGCGGGAGGUGAGGAGAGAGGAUGUAACGCUUCUCGUUGGUGGAAAGAGAAGAGGACCAAGGUGCAGCGUGAGCAAGGAAGAUGUAGGGCCUCAUGAGGUCGGGUCUCAAAGGGAAGGAAGGCCUCGUCAUCGACGAAGACGUGGGGAACAGGUCCCAGGUCUUCAGCCCCAGGGAGUGAUGCAGGUGGUAGAAUCUCCAGG
This is a long non-coding RNA of Oncorhynchus tshawytscha (Chinook salmon), 713 nucleotides long. RefSeq lists it as uncharacterized. NCBI's taxonomy places the organism in Eukaryota, Metazoa, Chordata, Actinopteri, Salmoniformes, Salmonidae. The record is from RefSeq and is a predicted model, not a curated record. The transcript is spliced from 3 exons.